GCCUCCGUGGUGCAAACGGAAACAUACUCGACGCGCAUUCGAGAGGUCCAGGGUUCGAGUCCCUGCGAAGGCA
Molecule: non-coding RNA, 73 nt
Organism: Stegodyphus dumicola
Lineage: Eukaryota; Metazoa; Arthropoda; Arachnida; Araneae; Eresidae
Source: the annotation of a RefSeq genome assembly